This is a long non-coding RNA of Eublepharis macularius, 726 nucleotides long. RefSeq lists it as uncharacterized. The transcript has 3 exons. NCBI's taxonomy places the organism in Eukaryota, Metazoa, Chordata, Lepidosauria, Squamata, Eublepharidae. The record is from RefSeq and is a predicted model, not a curated record.
UCGGUGCUCCGGCCUUUCUGGCGCGCUCGGGGCGACCCGCCAGGAGGAGCCUCCCCGCCCCCUCUCCUCUGGAGAGUUUUCGGCGGAUCCAGAGUCGGCGCUCCAAGGGGAGCCGCUGCUUUCAACAUGUCCGCGUCUGGCGCGCGGAAGGCUUGCCACUGCGGAUGAUGCGUGCGGGGCCUCCCAACAUGGCACACGGCACCUGCCAGUACUUGCCCUGGCACCUGCAAAGCUAUUCAGAAAGUGGAUGGGGCCGUUGUAAAGCAGGACUUGUUACUGACUGCCCUCAUCCAAAGGAAAGGGUUUUCCAUGGUGGUAAGAGCAGGCACAACCACUAGAGGAUCAGGAGGACUGGAUGAAUCAGGGCCUGGUUGAAAGACAGCCAGCAACUCCUACAAAGAUACCCUUCAUUCUGUGAUAAGAGAUAAGCAGUAGCUGGGCCAUGAUUUUGUUGGAAAUAGCAAUGUCUGGUGUACAACAGCAGCAAGAAGGAAGAAAAGCCUACCAUGCAGGGGGCAGCAAGGAUCACUUAGUUAGGACAGUGAGAGCAGCAUCUCUCUUGUUUCUUGGAGGGUCAUUUCCUUGUCUUGUCUCCUAUUGGGCUAAAUGGCAAUAUCCUGCUUCUCUCUCCUGCCACACUUCUUCUCUCUCUCUGCAAGAUGUAGUCAGAUAGCAAGGAUCUCUUUCUCCCUCUUUCCUAUCAAGUAUGUAACUUCCUCAAAUAAA